CCGAGCCACCGACCGCAGUCAACGAAGCGAGCCGCUUGUCAUGCCAGUGACGAAAAUUCAGCGUCAUAACGAAAAAAUACAUCAAUUUGGAACCUAAAUAUGAGUGAUGUUACGAGCUAUGAUAAGGCAAAAGACAUUGAAGAGAAGAUGGAAAUUGCCAAAGCAGUUAUAAUGGAAGCUAAACUUGAUCACAUAUUCAAAAUGCAAGUAUGUAAGCCAAUAAAAGAAACCACUUUUUUGGAAUUCUACUAUUAUUCUAGGUGUUCGUAUAAGGAUGAUAAAUGCCCAUUACAUUUCGAUAUCCGAAAACUAAGAGAUAUGCUAAAUGAAGCGUACCUAGUUAAAAAAAUAAUUCCCACUGCCAGAGAUAUUCUUCAGCCCAUGACUCUUGAUAAGUUAGGCAAGGAUUGUUUUUUUAACUGCAUACCAUACUGUGGAUAUGUUUGGAAACAAAUCCCGGGGACGAAGAAAGCUAUAUUUGUUGAAAGCAGCGAAAGACUUGCAGGAAGAAUCGAUUAUUUGAGAAAGAUGGAGCGUUAUCGGACAGAUGGGCGUAUACAACAUUUUGUUUAUAUAGACAUUAUAGACAUUACUGGAGUUCCUGGUAAUUACAGAGCCGUCGUUUCAAACAAGCUGGGUUCAUUGUAUGAUCAUACAUCUAAAGAAGACAUUUACACAUGGUUGCAAACUUUUAUGUACAAAAUUAAAGAGCCUACUCUGUUUGUGUAUGUGAAUCCGGGUCAGAAGAAAAUAUCACCCUUCAGUACAAAAGCAGCCAUGAUGAAACGUUUAAAGGAUUUUGGAGUUCCUUUUAACAUAAACUCACAUAGAUUUGAACUAUACGAUUUGGUCCAACGUUUCGCCAAAAAUAAAGAAGACGAAUUUGCUAAACAUUUCAAAGCUUUUGGUCAUGACGCUAUCGAACGUCCUUUGUUUUUCAAUGUGCCAAAUAAAAAAAAAGAAAAUCAUGACCCACUAGAUUUUUUCCAGGAAUUUAGUCAGUUUAAAAAUGAUGUGAAAAGCAAAGCUCGAUUCAAAUUUAAUGGAACUGAAGUGUGGAGUGAUGUUGAAAAAGAACUGGCUGCUAUAGAAAAGGAAAUGUUGAAACAAGACUUGGAGAUGGAGACGGUAAUUGAUAAAAUCAUGACAUACGGUAAAUAUGAAGGGAAUGCGCCUGAGUAUUUAACUGAUUACAGUGAAGUUAAGAAGUACGAUCCAGAAUUUGGACCUAUGAAUGCGUUUGUUGAUUAAACUCAGUUUUUUGUGAUAUUUUUGAUUAAACAAAAAAAAUUGUUACUACGUGUGAGUGACCUACUCAUUAAUUAGUUAAAGAUUAAAAUACGAAGUUUAUCAAUAAUUACAGAUGUAUGCAAAUUCUGUUCUAGCAAAUAAAUGAUUAAAAGAACAA
Ostrinia nubilalis (European corn borer) is the source of this 1408-nucleotide long non-coding RNA. RefSeq lists it as uncharacterized. Lineage: Eukaryota; Metazoa; Arthropoda; Insecta; Lepidoptera; Crambidae. The record is from RefSeq and is a predicted model, not a curated record. The transcript has 2 exons.